CCUACGGGAGGCAGCAGUGAGGAAUAUUGGUCAAUGGGCGCGAGCCUGAACCAGCCAAGUAGCGUGAAGGAUGACUGCCCUACGGGUUGUAAACUUCGGUUAUAAAGGAAUAAAGUGAGGCACGGGUGCCUUUUUGUAUGUACUUUAUGAAUAAGGAUAAGAUAACUCCGUGCCAGCAGCCGCGGUAAUACGGAGGAUCCGAGCUUUAUCCGGAUUUUUUGGGUUUAAAGGGAGCGUAGAUGGGUUGUUAAGUCAGUUGUGAAAGUUUGCGGCUCAACCGUAAAAUUGCAAUUGAUACUGGCAGUCUUGAGUACAGUUGAGGUAGGCGGAAUUCGUGGUGUAGCGGUGAAAUGCUUAGAUAUCACGAAGAACUCCGAUUGCGAAGGCAGCUUACUAAACUGCCACUGACAUUGAUGCUCGAAAGUGUGGGUAUCAAACAGGAUUAGAUACCCCAGUAGUC
RNAcentral lists this ribosomal RNA (460 nucleotides) under uncultured bacterium. RNAcentral describes it as "partial 16S ribosomal RNA". It matches the Rfam family "Bacterial small subunit ribosomal RNA", at positions 338 to 795 of the family's 1533-position model. The record is from RNAcentral.